Molecule: long non-coding RNA, 9041 nt
Filed under: Vitis vinifera (wine grape)
Lineage: Eukaryota; Viridiplantae; Streptophyta; Magnoliopsida; Vitales; Vitaceae
Description: long non-coding RNA (VVIN_LNC001392)
Source: RNAcentral
AUUCUCAGCAGGAGGGUGACCAGGGUUGUGACCAUAAUGUGGUGGCUUCUCUCCCUUAGGUGGUUUGCCAACUGGGGUUGGUGGCUUGUUUUCUGGGAGUGGCUUCUCUCCCUUGGGUGGUUUGCCAACUGGGGUUGGUGGCUUGUGUUCUGGGAGUGGCUUCUCCCCCUUGGGAGGUUUUUCGAAUGGGGUGGGUUUGUGUCCUGGUGGUGGCUUCUCUCCCUUGGGAGGUUUACCAAUUGGGGUCGGUGGCUUGUGUUCUGGGAGGGGCUUCUCUCCCUGGGGAGGUUUAGUGGGUGGCUUGUGUUCUGGAGGUGGCUUCUCCACCGGAGGCUUAUGCUCUGGUGGUGGCUUCUCGAAGGGGGGAUGCUCAGGGUAAUCACCAAGUGAGGGGGUGGUGAGAACCACCAUGCCAAGCAACAACACUAGCAAGUAUGUAGUAGACAUCUUUGGGUUUGGACUCAGACAGUGCAAAACUACGAGAAAUCGCUAGCCCUUUAUAGCGGCUCGGACCUAAUACUGACAUAAUAUAAAAUAAAUAUUAUAUUUUAUCAAGAGAGAACAGAGUGUAAUUUUAUCAUUAAUACCGAUCGAGGCCAAAGAAAGAAGACCCAUAAUCCAUUUCCCACAAGCAUACACAAUGCAGCUGUAAUUUUAUCAUUUACUUUUAUCCCUUGGACCACUGCAUUUUUGUUGAGAGACACAAUAACACAUUUUUAUCUGUCAUUCAACAUUUACAGUAAAGAGAGGGCACAAAACGCAAUUAGAUAAAUUAUGUUUUGCCUGCUAAAAAGAGGCAAAUAACUUUAUUUGCAACAUAAUUAUUUUGGUUUCUAGUGACCCCGGGGCCUUUCGGUUGGUUUGGGAUCGGAAAAUGAACAUCAUAGGGGGGGUUGUGCCCUUAUGGGCAUAUAUAUCUGAUAGCUUCAACUGGCCUUGUUCCUAGAAAGAAAUUGCCAAAGAUAUAAACUUAUUCCAGGCUGAAAGUAGAUGAGAGUCAUAAUGAACAUCAACCUUUGUUCAGUUUGAUUCAAUGCCCCCAUAGUGUUCAUUUCACAGAUCUGAAUGAUUAUAUCCGUUGAAUACAUAAAUUAAUGAAGACAAAUAUGAAACCCAAGAUACAUCUCUGCAUAACAACCCCAACCCUGGUUGCUAUGUUUCCCUUCUUCUAUUCACAUGAGGAUACUGGUUAUAAUUGUCAAACUUGCAACAAGCCCUUUGACACCUAACGUCAAUGGACGAAUUAAAAGUCUCCUUCAAACGUCUAUUUCACAGCAUGAAGCUUAUAAAGGAUGCUGACAACCUUCAGAGUUAGCGACAAAAGAUAAUUAUCAAGGAGAGAUAGUUCCAUGAGAAUUCCAAGGAGUCUGAAUCAAAGACAAAUUGCUCACUCAAGGGUUCUUAUUUUCUUUUAGGUACAAAUCUCUUGAGUGUUGUUAAAGAAACACGUCACUGUCAUUUUGAUUUGCAUUUAACAUUUCACUUUUGUUCUGGAAGGUUUGUUCCGGAAACAUAUCAAAUGAGCAUCAUUUUCUUCUUCGGUGACACAUGGUCGCGAGUACGUGGGUCCAUUUUCAUGCCACUUAGUUGAAAAGUUGGAAAGAAAAAACAUGCCAACAAGAAGAUAGUGAGAGAAGGGGCACUUCAAGCCUUUAACAUGAACAAACAGUAAAUAAAAGAUGUUUCUCCACUCAUAAAAGUGUGUUAGAUAGCAAUAUAACGAAUCACAUCCAAAAUCUUUACUAGGCUCAAACAUAAAGAAGACUCAUUUUUAAGAAAAGAUAAAAAUGGCAUUGUCUGAUAGUAUCCAAUACACGAGAUGGCACUUAAUUUGUACAAGAUCUGUCAAUGCUGACGCACAUUUUCUGAUUAAAAAAAAACUGAUCAGUCAAAAGCAAUGAAGAGAAGUGAUGACAAUGAAUGAUGCUUCCAAUAUUUUCACCCCUUAUAGUGUUCUUCAUGAUUCAGAUAUAUAAUUGGAAAUAGAACAACCCUAUGCCAUACAUUCGUCUAAGUAUGGUGUCUAAUUUUUUGUGUCAGCGGUUGCGAAUGGAGCGUGCAAAAGUCCAAAUUGGCGUCUCUCCAUUUCCACAUAGGAAGGUGACCUUUAUUGACAAAUACCCAAUAUUUGUAGACAUUCCUUAAAUAUCAUAACUUCUUGUUGAUUUGAAAAUCAUUUUUCAACUACCAUGUUUUAAUAAAUAUUUUUUAAAAUGUAUUUUUAUCAAAGUCCACCAUGAUGGAUAAUAUUCACCAUGCAAUAAUUAAUAAAGUACAAACUAAGCGAAAUGAAAAGCAUUUUCUUUGCUUUGAGUUGAUUUUGGUUGCAUUGAGUUGAUUUUGGUUUCAUGGUUUUUUCAACUCUUAUUUUGAUUGGAAGAUGUCAAGAAAAGAAAACAUAAAGAAAAAUUAAAAGGGAAAAAAGAAGAAAAAUAAAAAAAAAUAGAUUUAAAAGUUAAUAAAUUAUUUUUUAUAUUUAUUUUAAUUCAUUUCACUUAUUUUUCUUUUACUAUAUAAAAUUUAAAUAAUUUAAAUUUUAUAAUUAAUUUAAUUACAUUUCAUUUUCUUCUAUAUUUAAAUAUUGGAAAAAUAUUUUACUUAAUAUUUUUUUCUUUAAUUUCUUUGGCAUUUUGGGAACCAAACUUAGCCUUUAAAAUAAAAAACAAAAAAAAAAUGAAAAUAAGGAGGGAAAAGUGAGAAAAGAUAAAAACAAUAUGUAAAGGAUUUGAAAAGUAUUAGUUUGUAAUUACUAUUUGGAUUUCAAUAGUAUUUUAUUUGUCUUUCUAUAUUUCAUGUAAGAGAGAAUUUAAGAUAUUCCCCAAGGCAAAGCAUUAGUUACCUGCAAUCAGUGGUGAUAAGGCUCCAAGCCAAUUUUGGGCCCCAUAUCUUAAGACAGUACAAUUUCCAUUUCAACAUUUCUGAUUUCUCAGAUGUUUCACAUACCACAGAAGAACAUUGUUUGUGAAAAUAUGCAUUUAUGUUGGAUUUUGUAUGCUGUGGGGACUGGGGCAAGGAUCAUAUGGAAGAGUGGUUGACUUUUUCUGUACUUUAACGGUUGAAAUAGGAUAAGCACGGGCAUUUGUGAGGCUUAAUUGAUUUUGAAGCCUGAAAUUGCGUUUCUGUCAUUUUGUCAAAAAAAUGGCAGAUUCCAUACUCAUAUGUUUGGCCUGUGGCCAUGUACAGAUGCCAUUUAGUGACCAGUUUGUAACUGUCAAUCGUUGCGUUUUGACUCUGCCUCAACAACAUCUGCCAUUGACGGGUUUUCAUACUUGCAAAUCAAAUAGUCUUUCGUCCCAUCAGGAAUUUCGGUUUAAAUAUUAUUAAGCAUACGUUUGGCUGACAAUCAUUAUCCAGUUCAUGAUUUGGUUUCUUACCCUUAAUCAAUGGUUUCUAAGUGAAUAUAUGUAGAAGGAAAUCCGAAGUGUAGACAGUAGUAUCGAUAACUCUCAAUAUUCUCUAUAUAAUAGAAUAAACAGCGUCAUAGUGAUCGUCGCCUACAAGCAAGGUACAAAUACCAAAACGAGUGACUCACAUAGACAUCUCCCAACAAGAUGUAGUAGUGACUGACACAUGGACACAAUUAACUCGUAGAAAAGGAUAAGACCAUUGCACAGCAGCUCUUAUUUUACAUACUACUUAUGCUAACCAAAGUCAAUUAGUUGGGAUGGGUGGGAGAUGGAGGUUUGUGCGGUGGCUUGUGGGGCGGAGUUGAUGGCUUCUUUCCAGGAGCUUCUGGCUUUUUCAUCGGAGCUGAAGGAGGCUCAAUCUUAUGAGGCGGCUUGUAUGAGUCUUCUUUACUCUCGACAGGAGGGUGGCCAGGGUUGUGAUCAUAAUGUGGUGGCUUCUCUCCCUUAGGUGGCUUGCCAACUGGGGUUGGUGGCUUGUGUUCAGGAAGUGGUUUCUCUCCCAUGGGAGGUUUAGCAAUUGGGGUUGGUGGCUUGUGUUCUGGGAGUGGCUUCUCUCCCUUGGGAGGUUUAGUAGGUGACUUGUGUUCUGGAGGUGGCUUCUCCACCGGAGGCUUGUGCUCCGGUGGUGGCUUCUUGGUUGGAGGGGGCUUGGGGUAAUCAGCAAGAGAUGGGGUGGUGAGAACCACCAGUCCAAGGAACAACACUAGCAAGUAUGUGGGAGACAUUUUUGAGUUUGGGCUGAUCAGAUGAUGCAAAACUAAAGCAUUACGUGACCUUUUAUAGCAUGUAGCUCCCAAUACCCACUAAGUAUUGUGGGGUCCAUUUGUGCCCUACGGGGUUGAAAACUUAGACAAUUGGGCAAGGACCCACCUGACUAUGGAGGACUAGUGAGGUGUGAUCAUAGCUUUAGGAUUUUUCUUCCUCUGCAGCCGUCGUGCCGUUGGCAUGAUUUUCUUAAUCUUAAAUAAAGGCAUAGUUAUAGAGUUGUUUAAUCUCUAAAUGGGAUUUUAUAUAUAUCUUCAGAUAGCCAUUAAUAUAUUUGAUGAAGAAAGAAAGACAAGUGCAUACAACAUGUAUACGACUAGCUUUCAUGGAGUUCAUUUAUGAUCAGUUUUCCUGUACAUGUAAACCAGGAUCAUAUAUAUGUUUCUGUUCCACAACUAUUUUGGAAUCUUGUUUAUCAGUUUUUAUCAUUAUAAUGUCACAUAGGCUGCCAACUUGGGCGCUAAAAGAACCAGUUGGGCUAGUUCGUUUCAGAAUUUCAAUGUGGAUUCAGGAAUUGUUUUGUAAGAUAUGCGAAAUAGUAGAGGGAUGAAUAGUGUUUCAUUAAUAAAAGUGUCCUGUAAAUUAGAAGGUGUCAUAGAAACUAUAAUCAAUAAAUAACUUUUUUUCCCCACGGGUGGUGUUUCUUGUGGGGAUCAGUGACUGGUUUAGGUUCACCCAAAAUGAGUUCAGACUAAAAUUGGUUUGAGUCAAUGCCGUGUCUCUUUUUUCCAGAAAUCAACUAUUUUAUGCAUUGAAUAAAUCAUACAAAGAAAAUAUGAACGCCCGCAAAACCUAAACCCUGGUUGCUAACUUUCUAUGUUUCAGUUCUAUUCACGCAAGAAUAUUAGUUUAAGUUUGGGAAAAAUGGCAACUUACCUAGUGAUUACUUGGUUUUGGUUUGCGACUAUUUACGCAACCAACCAUGAGUUUGACUUUAACGUCAUGGGUUGAAGCCUCCUACAGGAAGGGAGAAAGCUCCACAGCUAGCUCCAAAAGAGAAUUAUCACAUUGAUAGCUCCAGAGAUUCCCAAGGGGACUGAAUCAAAGACAAGUUCCUCACUUUUUCUUCUUUUGAGGCCAAAUAUGAACCAAGGAUCACACAACCUCAUUCAACUUCAUAAGUUUGAUUUCAUGCAGUUGAACACUGGGUGAAGGCCAUGACAAGAAUUGAUUCAAAAAUUCUAUCACUCUUUUAAGUAAUGGAAGAUUAUUAUCUCUGAUUGGCAUCACAACAGCACAUGCUCCUAGAUCUUUCUAGACACUCCAUGCAAUGAAAGCACAAUGGAUCUUGUAACGAUAGAAACUAAGCCAUGCUACAGUACUAGAUGAUGAGGUAAAACUAGUAGACACGGGUGGCAGCCUAUAUGGGAGGGACACAAGUCUAAUUGAUUUGCAUUUCAGCAUUAUAGAUAGGUAUGUUUUGGAAGAUUUGUUCUGGAAAUACCGCACCAAGUAGGAUUCUUUUUCUCUUUAGUGGGUCCACUUGCAUGCCAAUUAACGAGUUGAAAAGUAUGAGCACCUACCUCGUGCUCGUGGAACCGAAGGUCAGUGAAGUGGGGCUCCUUUUGGCCUCGUGUAAACUUGAUUCAGAAGUGAAGUUAAUAGUCUUCCAUUCAGAUGGAUACAUGGGAAUUUUUCUCUUUUAUUUAUUUAUUUAUUUUUUUUUUGUGUGUGUAUGUCAAAGGAUAAUGAAUGAAGCGCGUUAGCUUGUUUUCUGACUGGAACCGCAGAUGUCCAAAUUGGAGUUCCUUCAUUUCUUACUUAGGAUUGUUACAUGUAUAAACAAGGUAUAAGAAAUAUGCCAACGUGUCUUGAGGAGUUAUUGAUUAGAAAUAACAAGUCACCCGACUGUAGAGUUCCAAGAUUUGAAUCUUCAGACCCUAUAGCAGCCUCUGGGGUACGUGGCAUCCUAUAGCAUAUUAAUGAAGGCUUUUUCGAUUUAGACUUCACAAUACCAAUUAAUAUGUAUGCACAAAAUGGAGAUGACCCCAAAAAAAACAGAAUCGCCAUAGUUUAUGAGGUUAAGGUGAUUCUCCACUUAAUAUCUACAUUAGCUAAUUAUGUAAAUCAAAUGAACUUCUAUUUUUCCUUUUUUUUUUUGGUUUAUGUCAAAUAGUAGCCCAUAAUUAACCCAACCAUUAGCCUGUUUGAAUUGAUUUCACAUGCACAAUGUUGUAGUAGUUCAUAUUUUGAAUUUUAUUUUUACAAAGGUAGUUAAGGAAAAUGAAGUAUAAUAAUUAUAAAAGCAGACUAUAUACACUACAAUAAUUGUUAGAAUGGUAUCUCAAAUUCUAAUUUAAAAUAUUAUUUUUUGUAAAAGAAAUAUUAUAUAGAAUAUUUCCUAAUUUUAUAAAUGAUUAUAAUUAGAUCUUUAUAAAAUAAGGAAAGUUGGUAAGAAUAUCUUUAUAAAUAUUUUAGGUCAUGAGAGAAAGAAAUGGGAUAAAAAUGUGAUGAAGAGGUGAAAUAAGAGAGUUGAUUAGGAUAUAGAUGUGAAGAAGAAAGGGAUUCAAUAUAUAUAUAUCUUUCAAUUACCACAUUAAAACCCUGUGAACCUUUUAUAUGGUUUACUUUAUUUUUAUAUUCCUCCUUUAAUAUAUUUACAUUAAUGCUUCCAUUGGCACAACAAUAACGAAUUACAAAUACAAGCAACAAGUCCCAUGUUUUAUUACCAAAAGCAGGUAAAAUCCACCUAAUAUAUUACAAUAUAUUCAUCCAAUAUUUUAGACCAAUUCUUCACCAUAAAUAUCAUAAUGUGGCUUUUGUUCUUUCUUAAAUUUAAAUUGAAUUGUCUUAUAUCAAUUUGUUUGUGAUUUUUUCAUUAACUUCACUUUCAUUUGGUUAUCUUUGGUUUUUGAAAAGUAUUAAGGAAUUAAUUAACAAAAUAAUGUUAAGAAAAAUAAUUUUCUCUCUUUUGAUUUUGAUUUUGUAGUAGAAAAAUAUAAUUAAAAUUAUUUAAAAAGUAUGUAAUUUUAAAUUAUUUAAUAUUUAGAUAAAAAAAAUAAGUCUAAUGAGUUUAAAAUAACAUAUAAAAAUAAUUUAUUUAUUUUAAAUUUAUUUUUUAUUUUCCAUUAUGUUCUCUUUCUCUUUUACUUUUUCAUAUUUUUUCUUACGAAGAAUCAAACACAACCUCAUAUUAUAUGUCAAGUGUUUGUCUAUAUUUGAGCAAUGUUAGAUACGGCCAUGGAUUCAUCAAACUAAACUGAUUUUAAUAGAUACUUCACAAAUUGAUUUAUACACUAAAUCAUUGGAUAGCAAUGAUGCAUUGGAAUUAAACGUAGGAUGAAGCUCGAAGAACACUGUUUGUGUAACAACAUAUUUAUGAAAUUAUGCAAAGGAUGAGCUUCGGGGUAGUAGUACAAGGUCAUUAAUGGAGAGCCGUGUUAAACCUUGAUUGUGAUUGGAUUCCGUUAUCAGCAACAGCAACCUUGUUUGUAACCUUGAAAGUCAUUCUGUCCACAUCGAAACUCCAAUUUGACGUUUGUAAUUACCAUUCCUGGAGUGUUCCUUGAUUGAAAUUUAAAUAAUAAUUGCGGCCCACAAGGAAUAUUUUCGAUUCUGUGGGAAUUUGACAAGGUUUGUUAGAGAAGACUGGUGACAUGUUGACUUCAAUGGUUCAAAUAGGAGACGUAUGUGGAUUUGGGGGGUUUAAUUGAAACUGAGUCCCUAUGGCUUUUUAAUAUUUGCAUUGAGCAGUCUCCAUGUGACUUCCUAAUUCCCACCAACCCUCCUGUCCAUGCUGUGAAACUAAAUUGUAAUUUAUCAGCCUUUGUCAAUGGUUUCUAAAUUAAAGAUAUAGACCAUGCAUGUACUUUAAUAAAAGCAAAUCUAAAGUGUAGAUAGCAGCAAUGGUGACACCCAAUAUUCUCCAUAAAAUAGAAUUAGAAUAAGCAGUGUUACAUUGUUCAUGAUCACCUACAAGCAUACAAGAACUUCCAUGAAUAACUCAUAGCAAUUGCCAACAGGGCGUCGUAGAGACUCAUACAUAGAACACUAUCCACCCAGAGGAAAGGACAAGACCAGUGCGCUGCAGCUCUUAUUUUUCACAUGUAUACCACCACUCGUAAUAACCAAAUUCACUCAGUUGGGAUAGGUGGGAGAUGGUGGUUUGUGGGGUGGCUUGUGGGGAGGAGUUGGAGGAGGCUUUAUUUUCUGAGGCGGCUUGUAUGAGUGUGCAGGAGGAUGCCCGGGAGUGUGACCAUAAUGUGGUGGCUUCUCUCCCGUAGGUGGUUUGCCAAAUGGGCUUGGUGGCUUCUCUCCCUUAGGAGGUUUACCAAUUGGGGUUGGUGGCUUGUGUUCUGGGAGUGGUUUCUCUCCCUUGGUAGGUUUGCCAAUUGGGGUUGGCGGCUUAUGUUCUGGGAGUGGCUUCUCUCCCUUGGGAGGUUUGCUAAUUGGGGUUGGCGGCUUAUGUUCUGGGGGCGGCUUCUCUCCCUUGGGAGGUUUGCCAAUUGGAGUUGGCGGCUUAUGUUCUGGGAGUGGCUUUUCUCCCUUGGGAGGCUUGCCAAUUGGGGUUGGCGGCUUAUGUUCUGGGGGUGGCUUCUCUCCUUUAGGAGGUUUGCCAAUUGGAGUCGGCGGCUUAUGUUCUGGAAGUGGCUUUUUUCCCUUGGGAGGUUUGCCAAUUGGGGUUGGCGGCUUAUGUUCUGGGGGUGGCUUCUCUCCCUUGGGAGGUUUGCCAAUUGGAGUCGGCGGCUUAUGUUCUGGGAGUGGCUUCUCUCCCUUGGGAGGUUUUGUUGGUGGCUUGUGUUCUGGAGAUGGCUUCUCCCCUGGAGGCUUGUGCUCCGGAGGUGGCUUCUGAAAUGGCGGGGGCUUGGGGUAAUGAGCAAGAGAUGGAGUACUGGUGAGAACCACCAUUCCAAGCAACAAUACUAGCAA